UCUGUUGUGGUGCCAUAGACACCACCCACGUCAAGAUGUGCCAGCCUUCCUCAGACCCACCAAGUUAUUGGUUGAUCAUCCAAAGAACCAUAGCAUGGUAUUGCAGGCUGUUGUGGACCCUAAUAUGAGAUUCCAAGACAUUGUCACGGGCUGGGGAGGGUGCAUGAAGACUUCCUACUGCUCCAGAAUUCAGAUUUCUUCCAACUGUGCGAGAGCGAUUUGAGGCUUAAUGGGAAGAAGCUAGAACUUUCAGAUGGUUUCGAAGUGAAGAGAGUAUAUAAUUGGAGUUGCAGGGUUUCCUCUUCUUUCUCAGCUUCUCAUUCCUUACCAUGGAAAGGAUCUUUCAGACUCGAAAACUGUGUUUAACCAGCAGCACUUGCCGACCAUAAUGUUGGCACAGAGGGCAUUGGCGAGGCUGAAGGAUACUUGGAAAAUCAUUCAGGCGGAAAUGUGGAGACCUGAUUAGCAUCGAUUGCCUAGAAUAAUUCUUGUUUGCUGCUUGCAGCACAAUAUUGUCAUGGACUUAGAAGAUGCAGUGCGGAACGGGAUGCUGCUGUGUCACCAGCAUGAUCCAAGUUACAAGCAACAAUUUUGCAGUUUUGCUGGUCAGCAUGAAUUGAUUCUGAGAGAUAAGGUAUCCCGGUUCUUGUCAGAAAGAUUACCACCAUAAAAUGAUCGAAACUUUAUUUCCAUUGUUUCAGUUCAUGCUGAUGCUGGUCAGAAACUAGAUCUUCAAGGCACUUCAUUAUGCUUGAAUCAGUGUAGGUUAUUGUGGGCAGGCUUUUCUUCUUUCUUUUCUUUUUAGCCCUCACAGCUGCUUGAUGGUCUUCCUGAGUUGGUGAUUCUUUUUCAGAUAUUGAACAAGAACAUGAAGACAAAGGUCUUUUCUGGUCCCUGGUCCAUGCAUCCCCAUCUAAGAACUAUUGCUGGCAAUUACACCGACCACUCUACAAGCCAAGUAAUUCAAGUUUUUAAUAUCUUGAAAUUAUCUACAUAUAUUUUCUCCAGUCCUAAAUAUUCGAUGAUCGGUUAGCUACCACUGUUAUUACUUAGAAUGCUUAAGCCAGUCAUUAACCGUUUAAUUAGAUAGUUAUUGUUGACAAUUAUAGCAAGUUAGAGGUAAUCUGGACAACGUCACUCUACUAUUUUUCACUGUCUUUUCUAUAUUAUAUGCAAACUCUGAAGCGGGCAUUUGUGAGGGUUUGUGCAGUUCAUUUCCACUUUUUUCUAUUCCAAAAAUACCUUUCUAUUAUUUUUUUAUUUUUAAUUCCCAUCUUGUGAUGCCAUUUCUUCUUAUUGUUGAUCAGUGAAAGCAUGGGACUCCAAGCAGGUGCCUUGGAUGUGGCCUUGCAUGUGUAAGGUCUAGUUUAUUGAAACUGCAAUACGAAUGUGUUAGUUUUGAUGCAUGACAUUUUUUUUUUUUUUGAUGAGUUGGAUGCAUGAUAUUUAUUUGAUUGCAAGUUUCAGGAUAAAAGGUUGGCCUUUGACUGCCAGCUUUUCAUUGAAAGAAACGUGACAUACCCAAAUCAACUCAUAUGGAGUAUAGUCAUUUUUUUAACGAAUUUCUAUCAUUAAGUUCAAAAGAGGAAAGAAGGAAAAAAACUGCCAUAUUUGAGAGGGUGGAGGAGCAGCUGGUGGAGGAAGCAAGAGAGGGAAGGGGAAUGAAAAAAACAAAAAAAGCAGCUGGUGGAGGGCAAACAGGAAACACCAUUCACUGUUCUGCCUCCUGGAGAAACCCAUAUAAAUGCUUUAUUUCAGCAAGUCUAAUGACUGGGGCAUGGGCAAUAGUCAAUAAAUGACAGGGGAAGAACUCCAUGCAAAUAACCCCUCUCUAUUUCCAUUGUUAGGGUUUUGCCGAUGUUGUCACCUAAUUCAUACUCAUCUUGCAUCCAAUUUAGGGUUUGGUCUGGAACAUUGAGAUGGAGGCAUUGAAGCUUUUGACGAAAGAGAAGAAGUUCUGGUUCGCUUCCUUGCUGGUUGUGUGGGCGGCCAUUCUACAGGUUGUUCUACUCCCUUUUGCUCCAAAUUCUUCUAGUCUGUCAUCCAAUUCGAUGUUCCCUCCUUCCAUUUCUAAUGAUAUGAUCAGUUACUGGACCGAACGUCUUUGAAUUCUUGGUUUGUAGGAUCAAGUUUUGCAGGCACAUGUGAUGUGGAUGCAGAAGCAAGAUGCAUUCAAGCAAAAGUUUGGGGAUAUCAGCCAAAAAGAAGGUGGAUAUGAUUGCAUUACUGAGCAAUUUUAUCAGGUUCCUCUGAAGCCGAAUCAUAUCCCCAUUUCCUUUAUAGA
Molecule: long non-coding RNA, 2284 nt
Filed under: Elaeis guineensis (African oil palm)
Lineage: Eukaryota; Viridiplantae; Streptophyta; Magnoliopsida; Arecales; Arecaceae
Description: long non-coding RNA (EGUI_LNC026797)
Source: RNAcentral